This 497-nucleotide ribosomal RNA is filed under the name uncultured bacterium. Its description in RNAcentral is "partial 16S ribosomal RNA". It matches the Rfam family "Bacterial small subunit ribosomal RNA", at positions 28 to 507 of the family's 1533-position model. The record is from RNAcentral.
GAUGAACGCUGGCGGCGUGCCUAAUACAUGCAAGUCGAGCGAACAGACGAGGAGCUUGCUCCUCUGACGUUAGCGGCGGACGGGUGAGUAACACGUGGAUAACCUACCUAUAAGACUGGGAUAACUUCGGGAAACCGGAGCUAAUACCGGAUCAUAUAUUGAACCGCAUGGUUCAAUAGUGAAAGACGGUUUUGCUGUCACUUAUAGAUGGAUCCGCGCCGCAUUAGCUAGUUGGUAAGGUAACGGCUUACCAAGGCAACGAUGCGUAGCCGACCUGAGAGGGUGAUCGGCCACACUGGAACUGAGACACGGUCCAGACUCCUACGGGAGGCAGCAGUAGGGAAUCUUCCGCAAUGGGCGAAAGCUUGACGGGGCAACGCCGCGUGAGUGAUGAAGGUCUUCGGAUCGUAAAACUCUGUUAUUAGGGAAGAACAAAUGUGUAAGUAACUAUGCACGUCUUGACGGUACCUAAUCAGAAAGCCACGGCUAACUACGUG